Molecule: ribosomal RNA, 439 nt
Filed under: uncultured bacterium
Lineage: Bacteria
Description: partial 16S ribosomal RNA
Rfam family: Bacterial small subunit ribosomal RNA
Source: RNAcentral
CCUACGGGAGGCAGCAGUGGGGAAUAUUGCACAAUGGGGGAAACCCUGAUGCAGCGACGCCGCGUGAGUGAAGAAGUCUCUCGGUACGUAAAGCUCUAUCAGCAGGAAAGAAAAUAACGGUACCUGCCUAAGCAUACGCGUCUAACUACUUGCCACCAGCGGCGGUAAUACGGCGGGGGCAAGCGUUAUCCGGAUUUACUGGGGGGAAGGGAGCGUAGACGGGGCUGCAAGUCCGGAGUGAAAGCCCACGGCUGAACCAUGGUACUGCUCUGGAAACUGUAGAGCUUGAGUGCGGGAGGGGCAGGCGGAAUUCCUAGUGUAGCGGUGAAAUGCGUAGAUAUUAGGAGGAACACCGGCGGCGAAGGCGGCCUGCUGGACCGUAACUGACGCUGAGGCUCGAAAGCGUGGGGAGCAAACAGGAUUAGAUACCCCAGUAGUC